This is a non-coding RNA of Cinara cedri, 325 nucleotides long. NCBI's taxonomy places the organism in Eukaryota, Metazoa, Arthropoda, Insecta, Hemiptera, Aphididae. The record is from the annotation of a GenBank genome assembly.
CACCAUACGCGUGACAGACCACAAGUUCGGAGACCACUGGUCAUGGUAACCUAUUGUAUGGGUGGGUAUAUAUUGUAUAAUAGGCAUUACGCGUAUUAUCCAUUUAUUUGUCCCCACAGAGUAAUAAAUGGGGUUGGGAUUUAAAUGUCUAGAAAAAUAAAUAUCAAAAAAUGUUCUAAAAAAAAAACCUAAAAUACCAUACGACCGCAACCGCAAUAACGCCCUUAAGAAUGACUAAAAACCGAAACAAAUAUGUAAAUUAAAAAGAUUAUCGUUGGAGUAAUUAAUAUAUCACGCUGUAUAAAUAUCCACUAUACAAUUAACU